This 411-nucleotide unclassified non-coding RNA is filed under the name Hevea brasiliensis (rubber tree). Lineage: Eukaryota; Viridiplantae; Streptophyta; Magnoliopsida; Malpighiales; Euphorbiaceae. The record is from RNAcentral.
GCAAGGAAAAAAAGAUUCAGUAGGUAAGUCUGUUACUAGAAUCCAAUUUUCAUGCCAAGGCAUCAGGCUAAAGAAAAUAUAUAGGAAGACAAAAGUAUCAGACUCCAUAUUUGAUACAGAAAAGAUUGUAAGUGCAUAUCUCCAUAUGAGUGAGGGAAAACAAUACUCUAGAUUUCUUAGAAUUCAGUUGGGAAAAAUAAGGAAAAAAAAAGAUAAGGAAAUAGGUGAGCUUUAGGGAAAUAAAAUAGGGAACGAGUAGAGAGAGAGAAGAAUGGGGGAAAAUAGAGGAAUGAGAGAGAGUGGAGAGUGGAAAAAUGGAAAAGCAAGAAACAGGGCUUUUUUGGAGUGUUUGGAUGGAAAUCAAGAGAGAGGGGGUUGGCUAGAGGGCACUAUGGAACUUAUUUUGCUGGA